Molecule: ribosomal RNA, 503 nt
Filed under: uncultured bacterium
Lineage: Bacteria
Description: partial 16S ribosomal RNA
Rfam family: Bacterial small subunit ribosomal RNA
Source: RNAcentral
AUUGAACGCUGGCGGCAUGCCUUACACAUGCAAGUCGAACGGUAACAGGUCUUCGGAUGCUGACGAGUGGCGAACGGGUGAGUAAUACAUCGGAACGUGCCUAGUAGUGGGGGAUAACUACUCGAAAGAGUGGCUAAUACCGCAUGAGAUCUACGGAUGAAAGCAGGGGAUCGCAAGACCUUGUGCUACUAGAGCGGCCGCUGGCAGAUAUAGAUAGGUAGUUGGUGGGAUAAAAGCUUACCAAGCCGACGAUCUGGAGCUGGUCUGAGAGGACGAUCAGCCAGCCUGGGACUGAGAGACGGCCCAGACUCCUACGGGAGGCAGCAGUGGGGAAUUUUGGACAAUGGGCGCAAGCCUGAUCCAGCAAUGCCGCGUGCAGGAUGAAGGCCUUCGGGUUGUAAACUGCUAUUGUACGGAACGAAAAGCCCCGGGUUAAUACCCUGGGGUCAUGACGGUACCGUAAGAAUAAGCACCGGCUAACUACGUGCCAGCCGCCGCGGUAA